GACGAACGCUGGCGGCGUGCCUAAUACAUGCAAGUUGAGCGCUGAAGGUUGGUACUUGUACCAACUGGAUGAGCAGCGAACGGGUGAGUAACGCGUGGGGAAUCUGCCUUUGAGCGGGGGACAACAUUUGGAAACGAGUGCUAAUACCGCAUAAAAACUUUAAACACAAGUUUUAAGUUUGAAAGAUGCAAUUGCAUCACUCAAAGAUGAUCCCGCGUUGUAUUAGCUAGUUGGUGAGGUAAAGGCUCACCAAGGCGAUGAUACAUAGCCGACCUGAGAGGGUGAUCGGCCACAUUGGGACUGAGACACGGCCCAAACUCCUACGGGAGGCAGCAGUAGGGAAUCUUCGGCAAUAGACGAAAGUCUGACCGAGCAACGCCGCGUGAGUGAAGAAGGUUUUCGGAUCGUAAAACUCUGUUGGUAGAGAAGAACGUUGGUGAGAGUGGAAAGCUCAUCAAGUGACGGUGACUACCCAGAAAGGGACGGCUAACUACGUG
RNAcentral lists this ribosomal RNA (497 nucleotides) under uncultured bacterium. RNAcentral's name for it is "partial 16S ribosomal RNA". It matches the Rfam family "Bacterial small subunit ribosomal RNA", at positions 28 to 507 of the family's 1533-position model. The record is from RNAcentral.